UACGGAGGGUGCGAGCGUUAAUCGGAAUUACUGGGCGUAAAGCGCGCGUAGGCGGUUUGGUCAGUCGAUUGUGAAAGCCCUGGGCUUAACCUGGGAAUUGCAGUCGAUACUGCCUGACUAGAAUGUGGAAGAGGGAAGUGGAAUUUCCGGUGUAGCGGUGAAAUGCGUAGAUAUCGGAAGGAACACCAGUGGCUAAGGCGGCUUCCUGGUCCAACAUUGACGCUGAGGUGCGAAAGCGUGGGGAGCGAACAGG
RNAcentral lists this ribosomal RNA (253 nucleotides) under uncultured bacterium. RNAcentral describes it as "partial 16S ribosomal RNA". It matches the Rfam family "Bacterial small subunit ribosomal RNA", at positions 524 to 776 of the family's 1533-position model. The record is from RNAcentral.